Agrilus planipennis (emerald ash borer) is the source of this 491-nucleotide long non-coding RNA. RefSeq lists it as uncharacterized. Lineage: Eukaryota; Metazoa; Arthropoda; Insecta; Coleoptera; Buprestidae. The transcript has 3 exons. The record is from RefSeq and is a predicted model, not a curated record.
CUGACUUUGUUUGUUUCAAAUCGAGGAGAGUUUAAAAUUGCUGUUUCUAAUACAAUAUUCAUCGUGGUUGAGUACGUAUUAUGAGAGUAGACAGUGCGGUCGGAGAACACGACAUAUCUGAUUCUGUUUUAGAAGACGUUUGUGUCUUAUUUUGUGCUUGUGCGUCAUUAUAAUAAUAAGCAAACUUUCUACAGUUUUUGUUAUGUGCAGUUUCGUAUACCUUAUAAAGUUUUGACUUUACACUGUGCCUUCAUCCGUCAACAACAACAAGCCGGUAUCCUCUGCAUGAACGACAGGUAGAUUUAGGUCUCGUACGAUGCAGAUAGGACAUAAUAAACAGUGACGCUGGAAAUAUCCCGGAUAAGAAUCGAGGACGAAAGCCGACAACAAACGACAGCAAACCUGAAUCUCUUGAAUUUCAUUAUUAGAUUAAAGGAAUCACUUCGGAGUGUAUCGUGUGAAAAUCAAUCAUCAACCAGCAGCUGUAUACA